Calidris pygmaea (Spoon-billed sandpiper) is the source of this 137-nucleotide small nucleolar RNA. Lineage: Eukaryota; Metazoa; Chordata; Aves; Charadriiformes; Scolopacidae. The record is from Ensembl.
CCGCACUGCCUUUGACCCGGCGGGGUGCCCUGCUCGCGGCGCCGCCGGCCAAGCUGUAGUGCUAGAGCGAAGCGCUUGUUCAUAACUGGUGCUGCUCGGCCCGACCCGGGUGGUGCUUUUAAAAGCAAGUGACAGCU